CUAAUACCGGAUAGUUCCUUGAACCGCAUGGUUCAAGGAUGAAAGACGGUUUCGGCUGUCACUUACAGAUGGACCCGCGGCGCAUUAGCUAGUUGGUGGGGUAAUGGCUCACCAAGGCAACGAUGCGUAGCCGACCUGAGAGGGUGAUCGGCCACACUGGGACUGAGACACGGCCCAGACUCCUACGGGAGGCAGCAGUAGGGAAUCUUCCGCAAUGGACGAAAGUCUGACGGAGCAACGCCGCGUGAGUGAUGAAGGUUUUCGGAUCGUAAAGCUCUGUUGUUAGGGAAGAACAAGUGCGAGAUUAACUGCUCGCACCUUGACGGUACCUAACCAGAAAGCCACGGCUAACUACGUGCCAGCAGCCGCGGUAAUACGUAGGUGGCAAGCGUUGUCCGGAAUUAUUGGGCGUAAAGGGCUCGCAGGCGGUUUCUUAAGUCUGAUGUGAAAGCCCCCGGCUCAACCGGGGAGGGUCAUUGGAAACUGGGAAACUUGAGUGCAGAAGAGGAGAGUGGAAUUCCACGUGUAGCGGUGAAAUGCGUAGAGAUGUGGAGGAACACCAGUGGCGAAGGCGACUCUCUGGUCUGUAACUGACGCUGAGGAGCGAAAGCGUGGGGAGCGAACAGGAUUAGAUACCCUGGUAGUCCACGCCGUAAACGAUGAGUGCUAAGUGUUAGGGG
RNAcentral lists this ribosomal RNA (680 nucleotides) under Bacillus pumilus. RNAcentral's name for it is "bacterial SSU rRNA". It matches the Rfam family "Bacterial small subunit ribosomal RNA", at positions 163 to 829 of the family's 1533-position model. The record is from RNAcentral. Lineage: Bacteria; Bacillati; Bacillota; Bacilli; Caryophanales; Bacillaceae.